UCCAGUCCAUCGCAUGGUGGUCUGGGAAAGAUUUUAUCGGUAUGGGAUGGGGUCGCGUCCUAUCAGGUAGUCGGCGGGGUAACGGCCCACCGAGCCUACGACGGGUAGCCGGCCUGAGAGGGCGACCGGCCACAUUGGGACUGAGAUACGGCCCAGACUCCUACGGGAGGCAGCAGUGGGGAAUAUUGCACAAUGGGCGCAAGCCUGAUGCAGCGACGCCGCGUGCGGGAUGACGGCCUUCGGGUUGUAAACCGCUUUUGUUGGGGAGCAAGCCUUCGGGUGAGUGUACCCUUCGAAUAAGCACCGGCUAACUACGUGCCAGCAGCCGCGGUAAUACGUAGGGUGCAAGCGUUAUCCGGAAUUAUUGGGCGUAAAGAGCUCGUAGGCGGUUCGUCGCGUCCGGUGUGAAAGUCCAUCGCUUAACGGUGGAUCUGCGCCGGGUACGGGCGGGCUGGAGUGCGGUAGGGGAGACUGGAA
RNAcentral lists this ribosomal RNA (477 nucleotides) under uncultured Bifidobacterium sp. RNAcentral describes it as "bacterial SSU rRNA". It matches the Rfam family "Bacterial small subunit ribosomal RNA", at positions 173 to 666 of the family's 1533-position model. The record is from RNAcentral. Lineage: Bacteria; Bacillati; Actinomycetota; Actinomycetes; Bifidobacteriales; Bifidobacteriaceae.